UAAAGGAUGCAAGAAGCUGAUUUAGUAUUGGAUCGACAUCCACUUCGACAUGGGAGUUAGCUGGAUGACUCAUCCUAGUCUUUCUCGGUCUUCCCCUUUUUUUCCUUGUACUCGUGUCUUCUACAUCAUUAACGUGCACGCUAUAGCCACUGCCGAAUUGGUCGCUCUGAUUCUGUGAAUCACUGACACCAUCAUCUUCUGCAACCUGUACUUGUGUCUUCUACAUCAUUAUCGUGCACGCUAUAGCCACUGCCGAAUUGGUCACUCUGAUUCUGUGAAUCGCUGACACCAUCAUCUUCUGCAACUAAGCCAUUCGUAGCACGAGGUCUGCCGGGCCUCCUUGGACAAGUGUCU
This 354-nucleotide long non-coding RNA is filed under the name Nicotiana benthamiana. RNAcentral's name for it is "long non-coding RNA (NBEN_LNC013788)". The record is from RNAcentral. Lineage: Eukaryota; Viridiplantae; Streptophyta; Magnoliopsida; Solanales; Solanaceae.